GGCUCAGGAUGAACGCUGGCGGCGUGCUUAACACAUGCAAGUCGAACGAAGCAGUUUAUUACGAUCCCUUCGGGGUGACGAUUUACUGACUGAGUGGCGGACGGGUGAGUAACGCGUGGGUAACCUGCCUUGUACAGGGGGACAACAGUUGGAAACGACUGCUAAUACCGCAUAAGCGCACAGCUUUGCAUGAAGCAGUGUGAAAAGUAUUUUCGGUACAAGAUGGACCCGCGUCUGAUUAGCUAGUUGGUGAGGUAACGGCCCACCAAGGCGACGAUCAGUAGCCGACCUGAGAGGGUGACCGGCCACAUUGGGACUGAGACACGGCCCAAACUCCUACGGGAGGCAGCAGUGGGGAAUAUUGCACAAUGGGCGAAAGCCUGAUGCAGCGACGCCGCGUGAGCGAAGAAGUAUUUCGGUAUGUAAAGCUCUAUCAGCAGGGAAGAUAAUGACGGUACCUGACUAAGAAGCACCGGCUAAAUACGUGCCAGCAGCCGCGGUAAUACGUAUGGUGCAAGCGUUAUCCGGAUUUACUGGGUGUAAAGGGAGCGUAGGCGGUUUUACAAGUCUGAUGUGAAAGCCCGGGGCUCAACUCCGGUAUUGCAUUGGAAACUGUAGAACUAGAGUGUCGGAGGGGUAAGUGGAAUUCCUAGUGUAGCGGUGAAAUGCGUAGAUAUUAGGAGGAACACCAGUGGCGAAGGCGGCUUACUGGACG
RNAcentral lists this ribosomal RNA (715 nucleotides) under Pseudobutyrivibrio sp. P78. Its description in RNAcentral is "bacterial SSU rRNA". It matches the Rfam family "Bacterial small subunit ribosomal RNA", at positions 21 to 735 of the family's 1533-position model. The record is from RNAcentral. Lineage: Bacteria; Bacillati; Bacillota; Clostridia; Lachnospirales; Lachnospiraceae.